RNAcentral lists this ribosomal RNA (2389 nucleotides) under Triticum aestivum (bread wheat). RNAcentral describes it as "partial small subunit ribosomal RNA". Lineage: Eukaryota; Viridiplantae; Streptophyta; Magnoliopsida; Poales; Poaceae. The record is from RNAcentral.
GAAAAGGAGUUUAGCGGCGCUACCGAUUAUAUGGCCUUGGGAUCGCAAGGAGAAUGGAGUAUGGGUAUGCGAGUCUUAAGUAUCUUUAAGGUAUCUUUAAGAAUGCCUAUGAAGAGCCCUAGAUUGUGCCUCGGCGCGGGGCGGGGGGCGCGGGAAGCGGCGGGCGGCGCCCAUCUCGGCCUCGGCGGGGCCGGGGGCGCGGGAAGCGGCGGGCGACGACCUCGGCGGGGGCGGGCGUCGACCCCGGCGGCGUCCAGCGCGGCGGCGACGUCCAGCGCAGCCUCGACGGGGUGUCGAGCUCGGCGGUGUCCGACGCAGCCUCGGCCGGGCGGCGACCUCGGUGACGACCUUGGCGGGCGGCGCCCUCGGCGCUCGGCGACCAGCGGUAACCUGAAAAGGUGUGGAGGUGCUCGUUCGCUGGGUGCGCGUGUAGUGAGAGGCGACGUGAUCACUCCUUCACUACCACGUGCUCCUGCUCGAAGGACCUGUUCUUCUAGAGGCAUGAGAAGAGCCACUACGUUUCAACUCGACGUCUAGCAGAUAUAGCUAAGACCUCUGGCUAAGAACCACGACGACGUCUAGCAGAUGUAACUAAGACCUGCAGCUAAGAAGUAAAUGGGAAGAAUAAUGGUAAACGAUUGAAUUGGUGGAGAGAGAGAGUACAACCAAGACUUCUAGAAAAUACACAGUACAGCUGUUCCCGCAAACUAUUCUCUAGGUUCGUCCGACGUACACUCCACUUAGUUCCUUCAACCAUCUUAUACGUCGGAACUAUCGUCUCCAAACACUUAGAAUACGGUCCAAACAACGGAGGUACAAUUUGUGACUUCUUUACCCCAAAGUCUAGUCGUUCCUCCCACUCACCUAAUCAGCGGCUAAUCACGGAAGUGACAACAACUUAUUUGACCGAAGUCGAGACUACGUACACUUGACACUCCACAAAAACCAUACCCUUACUACUCCAAGACUACCAGAUAUGGACUAACGUUCCAAACCCAUACUUAAUUUAAACGCAGGUUUGAACCGUUAAUAGAAGAUACUUAAAUCCGUAACAAGUGUACAGUAAACUCAGUUUGUCUUUAUACGAAGACUUUACGAGGUUAAACGACGAAAAGUGUAAAACUCUUCCAACAAAUAAAGCAUAAGUAGCCCAAUACGAUUUCGUCUUCCGUAACACGACUGUAAAAAAUUCGGAAUGAACUAAAACUAUACACCAAUCGGCAAACGGGAACGUGGUUUUUGUUUGUGAUAAGGAUACAGAAUGAAUCUUCGUUUCCACGUAAUUAAUAAUUGACCAACUAUAUACAAGGUACCACCCACCGUAUCUUUUGUUUCGAAGAAAGAUUCUGUACUACAAGACAAUGAUCGUUUUUUCACAAUCUUAAAUAUUCAUGAAUAAGUUUCUUUUAUUUUUGACUGACCUCUUGACAAACAAAGAUGGUAAGGAAAGUUCAAUUCCGUUUUUAGUAUAACCGUACAUCGAACACGAGGACGUCUCAAGAAAAACAAAACUAAAAGAUAUUACAAUUUCCGUAUAUCUUAUUACUUUAACGUUAUCAAUACUAGGGAUCCGGGCUGUUUUUUGACUGCUCUCAUAAUCCGCCACCGUCCAUAGUCCGAUGUCGUCAACUUAACGUUCAGAAGACUACUCGAAAACGUCGUUCCACCUCGUUGGAAUGUCACGUUUCUACUUCUUCCCCGUUAAGGAGAAGUACCACGAACACGAACCCCCAUACGUAAUAAAUAAACGUAACUCGAAUAUGAAGGAACGGGGUUCCUCUUCCAAAGUACGGGGUUCUUCAUCUUAUGCAUGUCUGUCCGUGGGUAGCCCUACCUGCUAGUUCUUUGGUUUCAGAUCCGGGACUAUUGAUGAGGGAGGCAAGGUUUUAUCUACUGGGUUGAAAUAUGAUUGAAACCUUACCUCCCUCAUGUUUCGUUCAGCUACGGUCGUAUGUAUACUGUUUUACUACCCGGACAGUCUCGCUUGGGAACCAACUUUAAACAGUUUUCUGACCCGCCAUUUGACUCACCAUCAGAAUCAUAGGAUUAUGUGUUGAACGGAUGAUACAAAAAAAAAAUUGUUGUCUCUCGCGGUCUCCGCGGUCUAAAGUAAGUCGAGUUGUUGUAUUAUGUCGUAAAUAAUGUUACGGGACGUCAUCACAUCGUCUGACUUCUCGUUCGUUUUGUCCUAUUGUCAAACUCCUUACUCGACUAAAUCUCGUAUGUAUCUAUCUAACCAGUUCCGCAGCGAAAGUUGAUACCUCAACACACGUUUCUUUCCUGUAUUACAAAGAGUUUAACGGGAAACAUAGAGAUACAAAACGUGAAAUAGUUUCCGCGUUAGUCAACUCGAGAGUUCGUUCAAAAAGGUCGUACUAAAGUGAAUACC